UCGGAACGUGCCCGAUCGUGAGGGAUAACGAGGCGAAAGCUUUGCUAAUACCGCAUACGAUCUACGGAUGAAAGCGGGGAUCUUCGGACCUCGCGCGGACGGAGCGGCCGAUGGCAGAUUAGGUAGUUGGUGGGAUAGAAGCUUACCAAGCCGACGAUCUGUAGCUGGUCUGAGAGGAUGAUCAGCCACACUGGGACUGAGACACGGCCCAG
This 212-nucleotide ribosomal RNA is filed under the name uncultured bacterium. Its description in RNAcentral is "partial 16S ribosomal RNA". It matches the Rfam family "Bacterial small subunit ribosomal RNA", at positions 118 to 334 of the family's 1533-position model. The record is from RNAcentral.